UACGUAGGGGGCAAGCGUUGUCCGGAUUUAUUGGGUUUAAAGGGUGCGUAGGCGGCCUAUUAAGUCAGUGCUGAAAUAUCCCGGCUUAACCGGGAGGGUGGCAUUGAUACUGAUGGGCUUGAGUAAAGUUGAGGUAGGCGGAAUUGACGGUGUAGCGGUGAAAUGCUUAGAUAUCGUCAAGAACACCUAUUGCGAAGGCAGCUUACUAAGCUUUAACUGACGCUGAUGCACGAAAGUGUGGGGAUCAAACAGG
This 253-nucleotide ribosomal RNA is filed under the name uncultured bacterium. RNAcentral describes it as "partial 16S ribosomal RNA". It matches the Rfam family "Bacterial small subunit ribosomal RNA", at positions 524 to 776 of the family's 1533-position model. The record is from RNAcentral.